Non-coding RNA from Podarcis lilfordi (Lilford's wall lizard), 6428 nucleotides. The record is from the annotation of a GenBank genome assembly. NCBI's taxonomy places the organism in Eukaryota, Metazoa, Chordata, Lepidosauria, Squamata, Lacertidae.
UGACAAGCUGGAACGAGUGCAGAGGAGGAUCUGGAAACCAAGCCUGAUGAGGAACGGUUGAAGGAGCUGGGUAGGUUUAGCCUGGAAAAGAGCAGACCGAGAGGAGAUUUGAUAACCAUCUUCAAAUAUCUCAAGGGCUGCCACAUGGAAGAGGGAAGACACUUGUUACCUCCUGCUCUGGAGGGUAGGACUCAAACCAAUGGCUUCAAGUUACAAGAAAGGAGAUUCCGACUGAACAUCAGGAAGACCUUUCUGAGGGUAAGAGCUGUUCAACAGGAGAACGGUCUCCUUCAGGAGGUUGUGGGCUCUCCUUCCUUGGAGGUUUUUAAGCAGAGGUUGGAUGGCCAUCUGCUAUGGAUGCUUUAGCUGAGAUUCCUGCAUUGCAGGGGAUUGAAAUAGAUGACCUGUGGGAUCCCUUCUAACUCUACAAUUCUAUGAUGCUUUGUCCAAGGGUCCCAAUCAGCAGAAUUAGCAGGAGGGACCCCCAACAAGCAUUUUGCUGCUUGAGAUGGAGAAGCGAAAGCUUAUCCACGAUCCUGGCUCCCAGUCCCCAUCUUGCUCCGGACUGAAGCUCAUGGACAAGGCAUUCAUUUCAGAACGAAUGACACUUUUCUUUUUGUGAAACAAGUUCAUGCACACACCUCUGCUGGAUGGUGGACCUUUCAGCCAGUUAACAUGAGAACAUGAGCAGAGCCCACUGGAUCAGGCCAACGGCCCAUCUAGCCUGCCACCCUCUUCUCACUGUGGCCAACCAGAUGCCUGUGAGAAACCCGCAAGCAGAACCUGAGCCCAACAGCACUUUCCCCUUCUGUGCCAGAAGGCCCCCAGCAUCUCCAAGUGGAACUGAGAAUGCCCCUUGGAUGAAACUCUGGGGAGCUGCUGCCAGUCAUUGCAAGCAGUACUAAGCUAGAUGGAGCCACUGGUCUGACUUGGUAUAAGACAGCUUCCUAUGUUUCUAAUUUCAGCUGCUAGAAAUAUCAUUGGAUGCAACCUUUAUGAGUCUAAGGAGGGAGGGCUGGGGGGGAAUAAAGAAAGAAGGGAAUUGAGAUGAAUAGUGAAGCUCCAGUCCAGGAUGAUUAUCCGCCUUUGGGGCCAGCCCGAUCACAGCAGGCAGAAUCCGACCCUUGUUUUGAACUCAUGCAUUUUUUAAGGCGGCAGUUUACAAGAACGGAAGCAGUAAACCACCGUUCGAGGCAGGAGCAGUGUUAGUGUUAAGGGUGCUUGUAAGCAUAUUGGCAGGAGCUGUGAUAGAUGAGUCCCGCUGGCAGUCUAGCGAUAAGCGGGGUGAUGCAUUAUUUAUAGCGGUCCUUCCCCUCGAUCGGCCCGGCGCACGGGGAAUGGCUCAAGCAUGCCAUGAGGAAUGAAUGAAUUAAACAAUUAAGGGCUGCUGGAGGGAACUAGAUGCUCAGGGGAGGAGGCGAUCAGAGCACCUGUGGUGUCUCUCUUUGCGAUUUGUCUCCCAGCAGGGCUGCCUGAAAUCCUGGAGGUCACUGCUGUCUGUCAGUGCAAACAGUACUGAGCUAAUAUGGAGAAAUGGUUCGAGCCAAUAGCUGAUCAGAAGGUCAGCAGUUCGAAUCCCCGCGAUGGGGUGAGCUCCCGUUGCUCGGUCUCUGCUCCUGCCAACCUAGCAGUUUGAAAGCACCUCAAAGUGCAAGUAGAUAAAUAGAUACUGCUCCGGCGGGAAGGUAAACGGCGUUUCCGUGCACUGCUCUGGUUCAUCAGAAGCGGCUUAGUUAUGCUGGCCACAUGAACCAGAAGCUGUACGCCGGCUCCCUCGGCCUAUAGAGCGAGAUGAACGCCGCAACCCCAGAGUCGGCCAUGACUGGACCUAAUGGUCAAGGGUCCCUUUACCUUUACCUUUAAUAUACAGCAGUGUCCCUAUGUUGCGAGGGAAGGGCUCACUGAGAGGGCAUCUAUUUUGUCUGCGGAAGGUUCAAUCCCCAAUAUAGGACUGGAAAUGUCCCCUGCCUGAAACCCUGGAGAGCUGCUGCCAGUCAUUGUAGACAAUAUUUAACUAGAUCAGCGGUUCUCAACCUGUGGGUCCCCAGAUGUUGUUGGACUACAACUCCCAUCAUCCCUGAGCUCUGGCCUUGCUAGCUAGGGGUGAUGGAAGUUGUAGUUCAACAACACCUGGGGACCCACAGGCUGAAAAAGGCUGAGCUAGAUGCACAUAUGAUCUGACUUCGUUUAAGGCCGUUUUCCAUGUUUUAAGGGAAGGAUGGUAUAUCGGUAGCAGAGUAUGUUUCGCAUGCAAAUUACAGAAUCAUAGAGCUGGAAGGGACCCCAAGGGCCAUCUAGUCCAAUGAAAGAAACUUAGCUAAAACAUUCAUGACAGACGGCCAUCCAGUCUCUGCUUAAAAACCUUCAAGGAAGGAGAAUCUACAACCUCCCGAGGGAGACCGUUCCACUGUUGUACAGCUCUUACCCUCAGAAAGGUCUUCCUGAUGUCUCCUCUUUUCCAGACUAAACCUACCCAGCUCUUUCAACCAUUCCUCAUCAGGAUUGGUUUCCAGACCCUCCUCUGCACUCGUUCCAGCCAGUGGCGUAGCGUGGGUUGUCAGCACCCGGGGCAAGGCAAGUAAUUUGCGCCCCCUAACCCGUGGAUUUGCGCCCCCUAACCCUAACCCCCAGAUGUUGCGCCCGGUGCGGCCGGCCCCCCCUGCACCCCCCACGCUACGCCACUGGUUCCAGCUUCUCAACAUCCAAGGAAGAGUCCAUGUAUUUGCUGUUGUUGUAGUUGUUCACCCUAAGAUCCCAGGUCUGGUCACAGCAAUUUAAAACACAACAUUAAAAGCAGUAUGCACCCUCCUGCAUUUCAGGGGGUUGGACCAGAUGAGACCCCUCCCUGCUGUAUGAUUCUAUGAAUUACAGUCGCAAGAUUAGGGUGUCUCCCAAAUGCAUAUGAGCAGAAUGUGAUGGCUUUAUGAACAAACCCCAUUCAGAAGUGAAGUCAACUGGAGGCAUGCCGAUUGGCCCAUCCUAAAUUCAUACAGUACUGGGCUGGGUUGACCAAUGGCCUGACUCAGUUAAAAGAGAGAUCUAUAUGCCUGCUGUCGCAUGCAUGCACAAAAAGGCUGGUCAGUCACGGUACAAUUGCCCUUUAAUUUGUUAAUAGUGUGGCAUAAUGACUGACAGCGUCCACGUCUCACCGACACAUGGAGAACCGAUUACGAUGACAAAUCGCUUUAAUUUGCUCAGAGAAGAAGAACGAGCUUCCAGGUCCUGUUUGGCCCUAGCUGAAAUCCUGAAGUUGCAGUGAAGGAGCCCAUCAGCGAGGGCUAUAAUUGGGGAUGGAGGGAAGCUGUCAUCAAGAGACAUUAUUUCCUGGACAUUAGCAGAGCACAGGCGGCCUCCGGAAAUAUAUUUCCUCUCCCCCACCUCUCUCUUUCUCCCUCCCCUCCAAAUCCAUUAGCAGGAUCAGCGUACUGCUGGCAGAGGGGAUGGGGGCACCUCUUGGGAGAAAUUCUUAGCUUCCUCCAUUAGUGCCUUUCAUUUCUUGGUAAUGUUUCCUUUUAAUGGUGUAUUCAUAAAGUCCUCACUGCGUGGCAGGAAAUGUUUUGGUCCUCGCCUGUCAGGAGGGAGAUGGAGGCAGGAUGUAGGAAGGAGCUGGGAGGACUUUUAAUGCAGUUACGGGAGAACUGUGAACAUAAGGAUGACUGGAUCAGGUAAAAGGGUGCCCAUCACAGGGGCCGACCGGAUGCAUGCAAGAAGCAAGCAUGACCCAAGCACAAGAGCUCUGUCCCCUCCUGUGGUUUCUAGCAACUGUGAUGUAGAGGCAUUGCUCCCUCCAAGCUUGAAGAUAGAGCAAAGGCACCAUGGCUAGCAGCCAUUGAAGCCUUCUCUUUAUGACUUUGUCUAAUCCUCUUUUAAAGCCAUCUAGGUGGGUGGAUAUCACUGCCUCCUGUGGGAGCACGUUCCACAGUUUAACUAUGUGCUGCAUGAAGAUUUUUAAAAUCCUGCCUCGAAUCUUCCAAUAGUAGAUUCUGUGCCAAGAGGUAAAAGGUAAGAGGUAAAGGUAAAGGACUCCUGGACUAUUACGCCCAGUCAGAGACGACUGUGGGGUGGCGGCGCUCAUCUUGCUUUCAGGCCGAGGGAGCCAGCGUUUGUCCACAGACAGCUUUCCGGGUCAUGUGGCCAGCAUGACUAGACCACUACUGGCGCAACAGAACACCGUGACAGAAGCCAGAGCGCACGGAAAUGCCAUUUACCUUCCUGCCGCAGCAGUACCUAUUUAUCUACUUGCACUGGCGUGCUUUCGAACUGCUAGGUUGGCAGGAGCUGGGACAGAGCAACGGGAGCUCACCCCGUCAUGGGGAUUCGAACCGCCGACCUUCUGAUUGGCAAGCCCAAGAGGUUCAGUGGUUUAGACCACAGCGCCACCCACAUCCCCAUAUAAAUCCCAUAGCUUAUGCACCGAGCGAAGAGAGACUUUAUUUUACCUGUCCUGAAUCUUCAAAUAUUCAACCUCAUUGGAUGUCGGAAGGCAUGAGAGAGGGAUAAAAACUUUUCUCCAUCCAUUUUUUCCACCUCAUGAAUAAUUCUAUAAAUGUCUAUUGUGUCACCUCUUAUUUACCAUUUGUCUAAAUGGAAAAGUCUACCCCCCGUGGUCAUUUUGGCUGCCCUUUCCAGAACCUUUUCCAACUCCACCAUAUCGUUUUUGAGGUCAGGAGGCCAGAACUGUCCACAGUCUUCCAAAUGCUGUAAGUGUGUGGCAAGGAUAGCCAAUGUGGCAUCCUCAUGGAUCACACCUCUUGUUGGCCCCAGCCAACAUGGCCAAAGGCAAGGGAUAAUGGAAGUUGGAGUCCAGCAACAUGUUUGACUAGUAGAAUUGUAGAGUUGAAAGGGACCCUGAGGGUCAUUCAGUCCAGCCCCCUGCAAUGCAGGAUUAUGCAGCAGCUGUCCCAUAUGGGGAUCGAACUUGCGACCAUGGCAUUAUCAGCACCAUGUUCUAACCAACUGAACUAACCAAGGCAUCAUGCUGGUCUAAACCACUGAGCCUCUUGGGCUUGCCGAUCAGAAGGCGAUUUGAAUCCCCACACCAGGGUGAGCUCCCGUUGCUCUGUCCCAGCUCCUGCCAACCUAGCAGUUUGAAAGCACACCAGUGCAAGAAGAUAAAUAGGUACUGCUGCAGCAGGAAGGUAAACAGCAUUUCCAUGCACUCUGCCUUCCGUCACGGUGUCCCGUUGCGCCAGAAGUGAUUCAGUCAUUCUGGCCACAUGACCCGGAAAGCUGUCUGCGGACAAAUGCCGGCUCCUUCGGCCUGAAAGUGAGAUGAGCGCUGCAAUCCUGUAGUCGCCUUUGACUGGACUUAACUGUCUAGGGGUCCUUUACCUUUUACCUUUAGCCCUGUUGAAAGAACACAGGUCACAAUGUGUGUGCCUUUCAGAAAAGGGCAAGUGAAAUAAUCAAGGGUGACUCCCUGAUGACGAAACAUUGCAACAUUUGGGGCUUUUCAGUUUGGAGAAAAGGCAAGUCAGAGAUGACAUAGCAUGGAGAAAGUGGACAGAUAUAUAUUUUUUCCUCCCUCCCCUGUAACACUAGAACUUGGAGGCAUCCGAUGAAGCUGAAUGUUGGAAGAUUCAAGACAAAUAAGAGAAAAUCCUUCUUCAUACAGCCCAUAGUUAAACUGUGGAACUCGCUCCCACAAGAGAGUAGUGACGGCCACCAACUUGGAUGGCGUUGAAAGAGGAUUGGACAAAUUCAUGGCUACCAAAGUCUUCCUAUCAGCCUUUGGCUGGCCUCUGUGAGAACAGGAUGCUGGACGAGAUGGGCCUCUGGUCUGAUGCCGCAGAGCUCCCCUUACAUCCUCGGCUGAAUUGGUAACAGAACGAACCUUUUUCAGAGUAAAGUGGAAACGCUGAGCCUCUGUGCGCAGCUGAUUGGUAUUCAGCAAGAUCCUCAGGUGCUUAAUAGGAAAGCAACACAAAUCCACAACAAAACAAAACAAAGCCUUUAUUAAUUUCCCACCCCCUUCCCUGCAAAGUUCAGGAGCGUGAGAGUAAUCACAGUAUCGAAUCAUCACCAUCAUAAUCAUAUAAAAGGCCCUCUGUCGAAAAUAGUCUGUUAAGGCUCCCAGAGAGUUCAGCGGGGAAAGAUUGCAUUAAGAUAAAGUAGAUUAUAACACCGGUGGACAUUCAAGCCUGUCAUUGUAGGGCGACUCACAUUGGGAAGUCCCCAAAGCUGCUUUUAAACAUGGGCAGGGGGCUGUGGCUGCUAGUGGGGGUGUGUGUGGAAUGGAAGGUCUUUAAAGGCAUGUUGGAACACUGAGAUGGAAGAAGGAUAAUUUUUUUAAAAUGUUUGGAACACUACUGGAAUGAAAAAAGAGGGAUUGAGAGAGCUAUGGCACUAGUCAUGAUGGCUUGGCUCUGCCUCCACAGUUGGAGGGGUCAAUAUUUCUGAAUCAUGGGUGUAGCCGGGGGGGACGGGGG